CCUACGGGAGGCAGCAGUGAGGGAUAUUGCGCAAUGGGCGAAAGCCUGACGCAGCGACGCCGCGUGGGCGAGGAAGGCCUUCGGGUUGUAAAGCCCUUUUGGCAGGGAAGAGCAAGGACUGUACCUGCAGAACAAGUCACGGCUAACUACGUGCCAGCAGCCGCGGUAAAACGUAGGUGGCGAGCGUUGUCCGAAGUUACUGGGCGUAAAGCGCGCGUAGGCGGGCUGUUAAGUCAGAUGUGAAAUCUCCGCGGCUCAACCGGGAAAGUGCAUCUGAGACUGGCAGUCUUGAGCUGUGGAGAGGGAAGUGGAAUUCCUGGUGUAGCGGUGAAAUGCGUAGAUAUCAGGAGGAACACCCGUGGCGAAGGCGGCUUCCGGGCCACAAGCUGACGCUGAGGUGCGAAAGCCAGGGGAGCGAACGGGAUUAGAUCCCCGGGUAUU
This 441-nucleotide ribosomal RNA is filed under the name uncultured bacterium. Its description in RNAcentral is "partial 16S ribosomal RNA". It matches the Rfam family "Bacterial small subunit ribosomal RNA", at positions 338 to 794 of the family's 1533-position model. The record is from RNAcentral.